GUUGUCACUUUGAUGGAAGAGACGGAAAAGCUUGAGAAGCUGGAGAAGGCCUCAGCAGUAUGCAAGGAGUUGCUGCAUAAUGUGGAAAGUAGACCAGAUCCACUUCUCUCUGAGUAAAGACAACCGGCCCUAUAAAUCCAUCAUGGGACAGAUGGUUUGAAGGACCACAAGACUCGAGGGGUUGCAGGUGCUGGAUACUGUAAUGAUUGCUGAUUUCAAAAGUUUCCCUUCUCAUUUGUCUGCAGAGGAUUCAACUUGUCACAGAAUUUUAGAUAGAUACUUUUCUCGUCCGGCAAAAAAUUAUGAAAAAUACUUCAUUGUGCAGAUGAUAACAAUUCUAUAGCGGCAUUUGGAUCAUUAACAAAUGUUUUGAAUGAAAUGCUUCAUUGUGCAGAGUA
Molecule: non-coding RNA, 398 nt
Organism: Carica papaya (papaya)
Lineage: Eukaryota; Viridiplantae; Streptophyta; Magnoliopsida; Brassicales; Caricaceae
Source: RefSeq, a predicted model, not a curated record